RNAcentral lists this ribosomal RNA (380 nucleotides) under Didymium reticulosporum. Its description in RNAcentral is "SSU rRNA". It matches the Rfam family "Eukaryotic small subunit ribosomal RNA", at positions 76 to 405 of the family's 1831-position model. The record is from RNAcentral. Lineage: Eukaryota; Evosea; Eumycetozoa; Physariida; Didymiaceae.
UCUCUCUGAAUCUGCGAACGGCUCCGCAAACCAGUUGUAAACUAUAGCAAGCAUGCCCAGGUUCUCCCUUCACGGGGAGGGCCUGGGAGAUAAGGAUAACCCUGGUAAUUCUGAGGCUAAUACAAGAAAGUACUCCCCGACUAACCGGGUUCACUGGAAGGUCGGGGGACGUGCGAGUGUUUUCGCGAGGUUUACCGGGAAAGGACGCACGUCUUGACCGCGCCAAAAGGAUUCCGCCUUGCCUCCGGGCUUGGUGGUCUCUAGCGGCUCUUGCUGUGUGCUUCUGACCUAUCAACUAGAUGGCAGCGUAAGGGACAUGCUAUGGUUACAACGGGUACAGAGGAUUAGGGUUCGAUCCUGGAGAGUGGGCCUGAGAGAUU